Molecule: long non-coding RNA, 2369 nt
Organism: Aegilops tauschii subsp. strangulata
Lineage: Eukaryota; Viridiplantae; Streptophyta; Magnoliopsida; Poales; Poaceae
Source: RefSeq, a predicted model, not a curated record
CAGAUCGAUCUCCGCCGCCGCCCGAUCGCACGCCCGAACCACCCCUACCCCAUCGGCCCCGUCGGAUCUCGCAGCUGGCGGACGACUCGAGAAGACCCCACCGGAUCUCGCCCUCGUCGUCAGUUCUGGAUCGUCGCCGCCGCCGAUCCCCUUCGGAAAACAACGCCGAUCCCCUGCUCGCCCACGCACGCUGCCGCGGAUGGAGGCCGCCUGCUCGCGAUCACCAAACCUGCUGGCGCCGCGCUCCGUAGGAUCCAAGUACGCCCCUCUCCGUGGUGUUCACUGAUUGCUUGGAGCAACAACGUACUGUUGGAGUUGCCGAAGCAUUAGGUGAUUCGAUUGUGUGCGUUUGCUGGAUUUGUUUGACGAAGGAAAGAUGACGAUGAAGGACACACAAAGGAGUGUGAGCGGUGAUGGUACCAAGGUUACCGGCAGGUAUGCAUGCAGGAACUGACUGUACAGUGUUCCUAUAAUGCUACUGGUUUUAACGUCUGUACUGUGAUGCUACUGGCAGUUUAAAUAAAUCUGCUAUCAUUUGGGAUGUGAGUUGUCACAACUCGCUGUGCUCUGGUGUUCAGCUCAGAAUUUCUUUUGGGAAUGAUUCCUCUGAAUAGACUACUUAUGCUUGACAUUUUACUUUUGUUAUUUCUAUUUGUAACUCAAUUUCGGUAUCCUCUCAAAUUGACAAUACUUUUUCUGGACAUGGUAGUUGAGAAUAGUUAUGGUAUAUAGCGGAGUUAGCCCAUCCUCACCAAUGACUCUUCCUCAGGGAUUUGCUGAACUAGAGUUAGUAAUGGGGGUAUUGCAGACUGUUUAGAAUUAUGGGGGUAUUGCAGACUUUAGAAACUGAAUUAAAUUUUUGUGCAAUUGAAAAAGGUGUAUACAACUUGAAUUUAUUAGGUAUUAUAGGAGAGAUAUGAAAUUUUAAAAUUGUUAGCCAGAUUUGUGUGUUGUUUUGGGUAGUAUUCAGUUUUGUUCCAUCUUAGAGGCCAAUAAUGCACAUGUGAUAUUAUCUACAUAAUUCAGUUUAUACGGCUUCCCAUAUUCCAAUGGUUGUAUUUUGCUAAAUUGCCAUCUACUUACUGGAAUUCUCACAAAUAGAAGUGCAGUCAGAAGGUAAAAAGGAUGGUAUGGUAUGUCUCCAUUCACAUGGUACUGAACUGUUAGUGAUUCUUUGUGUUAUUCUGCAGACUUGAACUUAGUUUCUAUGGUUUUCUUUUUUGUUCAUAGACGAGAGUAUAGUCUGAAGGGAAAAAUUGGUAUGCUCUGAAGGGUGUGCAAGAACAGUGAGAUUUAUAUUACUGAAUGUAUUGUUAACAAUUUGUUAUUUUGCAGACUUGCUCUCAGUUUUUAUUCUUGGCAGGUGAUUCUUCAUGAUAGUUUUUUGUAGAGGAACAUUUUUGGUAAGCGUAUUGUAAUAUUGACUCCCACCUUUUUAUUUACAUGUAAAGAUGACCAAUUGGUAAUUUUAAAAUUUAAAUGUAAAUUUAACUUAUUUUGUGAAAUAACAUCAUGUCGUUCAGAUAAUUUGAUUUCCCUCUAUGAUAUUCUUUGGCUUUAGUAUAUCUCAGGACAAAGUUGUCAGAAGUUCUAUGGUUCAUAACCAAAACAUAAUCUCCUUUUUGUUAUUUGAUUUGCAUCAUGAUGUGUGCCCAUAUGUUCCCCUGUUGCUUAAAAAAAUCAACUUCCGGUGCAACACACGUGCAUAUACCUAUCAUGACAAAUAAACCUCACGAUGAAAGCAUUUAUGUACCUAUUUAAUUUGUGAUGGCAGCGAUGGGGCCUGGAACGGUGAUCGGUGGUGCUGGUGUCGGCAGUGCGGUACAAGGUCAGGAUGCGGGAUGGGACGGCCAUUCGUGUGAGGCAGUCGGCGGCGAGGGUUUGUGGCAUCACGAGGAGCGCCCGUGGAUUCAAGGUGUUGGCCCUAGACCUCCGACGAGGGAGGAGACGAUGUUAGUAUUUCCAUAGGAAAAAACAAGAGAAGAAGAACAAGAACAACGACGGCAAUCUCGGGUUCCAGGUACGAUGGAGCCGGCGGCGAAGCGCAUGGCGCUCGCAAACAUGAUAGUGGAUGGCGACGAUACCCUCAACUGCGGCAUCUGCUACCUCCCUCUCAAGCCACCAGUCUUCCAGUGUGGCGUCGGUCAUACCAUAUCCUCGCGGUGCCGCGACAAGAUGGUGGCAGCAAGGAGGUGCCGUGUGUGUGUCACAUCCGGUUGACCGGCGGCUAUCGCUGGAACAUCGCACUGGAGAGGCUAACAGAGUCCAUCCGGGUGCCGUGCGCCAACGCCGCCCACGGCUGCACUGCCACGCCGGCCUACUAUGACCACCCCGACCACCUCAAGGCAUGCCCUCACGACGCCGUGCUA